RNAcentral lists this ribosomal RNA (493 nucleotides) under uncultured bacterium. Its description in RNAcentral is "partial 16S ribosomal RNA". It matches the Rfam family "Bacterial small subunit ribosomal RNA", at positions 30 to 523 of the family's 1533-position model. The record is from RNAcentral.
AUUGAACGCUGGCGGCAUGCUUUACACAUGCAAGUCGAACGGUGACAGGUUAAGCUGACGAGUGGCGAACGGGUGAGUAAUGCAUCGGAACGUGCCCGAUCGUGGGGGAUAACGCAGCGAAAGCUGCGCUAAUACCGCAUACGAUCUGAGGAUGAAAGCGGGGAACCGUAAGGCCUCGCGCGAUCGGAGCGGCCGAUGUCAGAUUAGGUAGUUGGUGGGGUAAAGGCCCACCAAGCCGACGAUCUGUAGCUGGUCUGAGAGGACGACCAGCCAAACUGGGACUGAGACACGGCCCAGACUCCUACGGGAGGCAGCAGUGGGGAAUUUUGGACAAUGGGCGAAAGCCUGAUCCAGUAAUGCCGCGUGCAGGAAGAAGGCCUUCGGGUUGUAAACUGCUUUUGUACGGAGCGAAAAGGUCCUUUCUAAUACAAGGGGCUCAUGACGGUACCGUAAGAAUAAGCACCGGCUAACUACGUGCCAGCCGCCGCUGUAA